GACGAACGCUGGCGGCGUGCUUAACACAUGCAAGUCGAACGGUAAGGCCCUUCGGGGUACACGAGUGGCGAACGGGUGAGUAACACGUGGGUGAUCUGCCCUGCACUUCGGGAUAAGCCUGGGAAACUGGGUCUAAUACCGGAUAGGACUCCGGACUGCAUGGUCUGGGGUGGAAAGCUUUUGCGGUGUGGGAUGGGCCCGCGGCCUAUCAGCUUGUUGGUGGGGUGAUGGCCUACCAAGGCGACGACGGGUAGCCGGCCUGAGAGGGUGACCGGCCACACUGGGACUGAGAUACGGCCCAGACUCCUACGGGAGGCAGCAGUGGGGAAUAUUGCACAAUGGGCGCAAGCCUGAUGCAGCGACGCCGCGUGAGGGAUGACGGCCUUCGGGUUGUAAACCUCUUUCAGUAGGGACGAAGCGCAAGUGACGGUACCUACAGAAGAAGGACCGGCCAACUACGUGCCAGCCGCCGCAGUAA
RNAcentral lists this ribosomal RNA (478 nucleotides) under uncultured bacterium. RNAcentral describes it as "partial 16S ribosomal RNA". It matches the Rfam family "Bacterial small subunit ribosomal RNA", at positions 28 to 523 of the family's 1533-position model. The record is from RNAcentral.